Scophthalmus maximus (turbot) is the source of this 418-nucleotide long non-coding RNA. RefSeq lists it as uncharacterized. NCBI's taxonomy places the organism in Eukaryota, Metazoa, Chordata, Actinopteri, Pleuronectiformes, Scophthalmidae. The record is from RefSeq and is a predicted model, not a curated record. The transcript has 3 exons.
UAUAGCCCUGUUCAGGGUAAGACAUUGAUUAAUUUUGCCAUUCUGUACCACAGAGGAACAGACACGACGUCGCUCUGUGAAUUCCUGCCCGAUUCUAAUUUCAUCACAUCUUUGUGGUGAGUAGAUGAGACGAGUUAACAGUCGGCCAGAGACGGAGGGAGGGAGGGUCGGGGUCAUGAAACCCCCUCUCCCUGCAGAGUCGUCACAGAUGUCAGGGAGAUACUGGGAUACAAAGUUUUGAUGCAAAGCAAAGUAGCAGCAUUCUGCUAUCAAGUUUAUUGCAAUAUGAGGCUGACAGGAGAGGCUUCUGCAACUGCAAAUUGUAUCAUACAAGGCAAUUCAACGAAACAGUUCAUCCAUCCAUCCAUUAGCUAUAUCGCUCAUCCUUGAAGGGUAGAAGGCUGGAGCCAAUCCCUGC